UGAGAUGUUGGGUUAAGUCCCGUAACGAGCGCAACCCUUGUCCUUAGUUACCAGCACGUUAAGGUGGGCACUCUAAGGAGACUGCCGGUGACAAACCGGAGGAAGGUGGGGAUGACGUCAAGUCAUCAUGGCCCUUACGGCCUGGGCUACACACGUGCUACAAUGGUCGGUACAAAGGGUUGCCAAGCCGCGAGGUGGAGCUAAUCCCAUAAAACCGAUCGUAGUCCGGAUCGCAGUCUGCAACU
This 245-nucleotide ribosomal RNA is filed under the name uncultured bacterium. Its description in RNAcentral is "partial 16S ribosomal RNA". It matches the Rfam family "Bacterial small subunit ribosomal RNA", at positions 1068 to 1312 of the family's 1533-position model. The record is from RNAcentral.